AUCUGUAGCCAUACCGCCCUGAAUGCGCCUGGUCUUGUCUCAUCUCGGAAGCUAAGCCUGGUUGGUCCUUGAAUGGGACGAGGUAAGGAAUAUGCAUAAC
This 100-nucleotide ribosomal RNA is filed under the name Jaculus jaculus (lesser Egyptian jerboa). Lineage: Eukaryota; Metazoa; Chordata; Mammalia; Rodentia; Dipodidae. The record is from RNAcentral.